GACGUAGGAGGCAAGCGUUAUCCGGAUUUAUUGGGCGUAAAGGGCAAGUAGGCGGUUCUAAAAGUUGGGCGUGACAUCUCCCGGCUCAACCGGGAGGGUGCGUUCAAAACUAGAGGACUAGAGGGCAGGAGAGGGAAGUGGAAUUCCCAGUGUAGCGGUGGAAUGCUCAGAUAUUGGGAAGAACACCAGUGGCGAAGGCGGCUUCCUGGCCUGCACCUGACGCUGAGAGGCGAAAGCUAGGGUAGCAAACGGGCUUAGAUACCCGGGUAGUCCCUGAGCGGGCUGG
This 286-nucleotide ribosomal RNA is filed under the name uncultured prokaryote. Its description in RNAcentral is "partial 16S ribosomal RNA". It matches the Rfam family "Bacterial small subunit ribosomal RNA", at positions 524 to 812 of the family's 1533-position model. The record is from RNAcentral.